CCUACGGGAGGCAGCAGUGGGGAAUAUUGCACAAUGGGGGAAACCUUGAUGCAGCAACGCCGCGUGAGUGAGGAAGUAUUUCGGUAUGUAAAGCUCUAUCAGCAGGGAAUAGAAAAGAAGGUACCUGAAAAAGAAGCACCGGCUAACUACGUGCCAAGAGCCGCGGUAAUACGUGGGGGGCAAGCGUUUUCCGGAUUUACUGGGUGUAAAGGGAGCGUAGACGGAAAGGCAAGUCAGAAGGGAAAGCCCAAGGCUCAACCAUGGGAUUGCUUUUGAAACUGGCAAACUAGAGUUAGGGAGAGGUAAGAGGAAUUCCUAGUGUAGCGGUGAAAUGCGUAGAUAUUAGGAGGAACACCAGUGGCGAAGGCGUCUUACUGGAUCGAAACUGACGUUGAGGCUCGAAAGCGUGGGGAGCAAACAGGAUUAGAUACCCCUGUAGUC
Molecule: ribosomal RNA, 441 nt
Filed under: uncultured bacterium
Lineage: Bacteria
Description: partial 16S ribosomal RNA
Rfam family: Bacterial small subunit ribosomal RNA
Source: RNAcentral